GAUGAACGCUAGCGACAGGCCUAACACAUGCAAGUCGAGGGGCAGCAUUUCUAGCUUGCUAGAAGAUGGCGACCGGCGCACGGGUGAGUAACGCGUAUGCAACCUUACCUUUUACUGGGGGAUAGCCCAAAGGAAUUUGGAUUAAUACCGCAUAAUAUGAUUGAUUCGCAUGGAUUGAUUAUUAAAUCUUCGGAAGGUAAAAGAUGGGCAUGCGUAGCAUUAGUUAGUUGGUGAGGUAAUGGCUCACCAAGACGAUGAUGCUUAGGGGGUCUGAGAGGACAGUCCCCCACACUGGUACUGAGACACGGACCAG
RNAcentral lists this ribosomal RNA (313 nucleotides) under uncultured bacterium. RNAcentral describes it as "bacterial SSU rRNA". It matches the Rfam family "Bacterial small subunit ribosomal RNA", at positions 28 to 334 of the family's 1533-position model. The record is from RNAcentral.